Molecule: non-coding RNA, 169 nt
Filed under: pig gut metagenome
Source: RNAcentral
AAGGUUUGGUUGCCAUUGCGGCAAUCGUGAAAAGGGAACCGGGUGAGAAUCCCGGGCAGUCGCGCUGCUGUAAUUCUCCUGAAUCCUGACGACAAUGCCACUGAAAUGCUUUGUGAACUUUCGGGAAGGCCGUCAGGAUGGGGAUAAGCCAGAAGACCUGCCUGUACCG